This 99-nucleotide small RNA is filed under the name Providencia rettgeri DSM 1131. RNAcentral's name for it is "SraH RNA". Lineage: Bacteria; Pseudomonadati; Pseudomonadota; Gammaproteobacteria; Enterobacterales; Morganellaceae. The record is from RNAcentral.
GUGAUAUACCUAAUUUUAUGAUUUGCAAAAAACAAAAAGCAUAUGCAAAUCAACGAUUUCCCUGGUGUUGGCGCAGUAUUCGCGCACCCCAACUUCGGU